This 155-nucleotide ribosomal RNA is filed under the name Chitinophaga sp. SR-A. RNAcentral's name for it is "partial 16S ribosomal RNA". It matches the Rfam family "Bacterial small subunit ribosomal RNA", at positions 355 to 507 of the family's 1533-position model. The record is from RNAcentral. Lineage: Bacteria; Pseudomonadati; Bacteroidota; Chitinophagia; Chitinophagales; Chitinophagaceae.
UAAGGAAUAUUGGUCAAUGGACGCAAGUCUGAACCAGCCAUGCCGCGUGAAGGAUGAAGGUCCUCUGGAUUGUAAACUUCUUUUAUAUGGGAAGAAACCACUCUUAUCUAAGGGUGUUGACGGUACCAUAGGAAUAAGCACCGGCUAACUCCGUG